GACGAACGCUGGCGGCGUGCUUAAAACCUGCAAGUCGAACGGACUUCUCAUGAAGCUUGCGAUUGAGAAGUUAGUGGCGGACGGGUGAGUAACGCGUGGGCAACCUGCCCCUGAGCCCGGGAUAACAGUUCGAAAGGACUGCUAAGACCGGAUAUACUUGCGGUGAAGCAUUUCACUGCAAGGAAAGGGAACGCUCAGGGAUGGGCCCGCGUCCCAUUAGCUAGUUGGUGAGGUAACGGCCCACCAAGGCGACGAUGGGUAGCCGGCCUGAGAGGGUGAACGGCCACACUGGGACUGAGACACGGCCCAGACUCCUACGGGAGGCAGCAGUUGGGAAUCUUCGGCAAUGGGCGCAAGCCUGACCGAGCAACGCCGCGUGAGUGAUGAAGGUUUUCGGAUUGUAAAGCUCUGUCUUCCGGGACGAUAAUGACGGUACCGGAGGAGGAAGCCACGGCUAACUACGUG
Molecule: ribosomal RNA, 465 nt
Filed under: uncultured bacterium
Lineage: Bacteria
Description: bacterial SSU rRNA
Rfam family: Bacterial small subunit ribosomal RNA
Source: RNAcentral